RNAcentral lists this ribosomal RNA (803 nucleotides) under Enterococcus faecalis. RNAcentral's name for it is "partial 23S ribosomal RNA". It matches the Rfam family "Bacterial large subunit ribosomal RNA", at positions 411 to 1215 of the family's 2925-position model. Lineage: Bacteria; Bacillati; Bacillota; Bacilli; Lactobacillales; Enterococcaceae. The record is from RNAcentral.
AGUACGGCGGAACACGAGAAAUUCCGUCGGAAUCCGCGGGGACCAUCCCGCAAGGCUAAAUACUCCCUAGUGACCGAUAGUGAACCAGUACCGUGAGGGAAAGGUGAAAAGCACCCCGGAAGGGGAGUGAAAUAGAUCCUGAAACCGUGUGCCUACAACAAGUCAAAGCUCGUUAAUGAGUGAUGGCGUGCCUUUUGUAGAAUGAACCGGCGAGUUACGAUUGCAUGCGAGGUUAAGUCGAAGAGACGGAGCCGCAGCGAAAGCGAGUCUGAAUAGGGCGAAUGAGUAUGUAGUCGUAGACCCGAAACCAUGUGAUCUACCCAUGUCCAGGUUGAAGGUGCGGUAAAACGCACUGGAGGACCGAACCCACGUACGUUGAAAAGUGCGGGGAUGAGGUGUGGGUAGCGGAGAAAUUCCAAACGAACUUGGAGAUAGCUGGUUCUCUCCGAAAUAGCUUUAGGGCUAGCCUCGGAAUUGAGAAUGAUGGAGGUAGAGCACUGUUUGGACUAGGGGCCCAUCUCGGGUUACCGAAUUCAGAUAAACUCCGAAUGCCAUUCAUUUAUAUCCGGGAGUCAGACUGCGAGUGAUAAGAUCCGUAGUCGAAAGGGAAACAGCCCAGACCACCAGCUAAGGUCCCAAAAUAUAUGUUAAGUGGAAAAGGAUGUGGGGUUGCACAGACAACUAGGAUGUUGGCUUAGAAGCAGCCACCAUUUAAAGAGUGCGUAAUAGCUCACUAGUCGAGUGACCCUGCGCCGAAAAUGUACCGGGGCUAAACAUAUUACCGAAGCUGUGGACUACACCAU